Molecule: long non-coding RNA, 195 nt
Filed under: Oryza sativa Indica Group (long-grained rice)
Lineage: Eukaryota; Viridiplantae; Streptophyta; Magnoliopsida; Poales; Poaceae
Also listed under: 3 other names
Description: lncRNA OsKYG_06g0012860
Source: RNAcentral
AUGCCAACAGUAUGUACAUUUGCAAAAAGUAGAACCAACAAUUUGGACGACUACUCUAUCUUCCAGGCGGCGCUGGCGGUUGCGGACGGUGACGGCGCGGCCCUCGGCGAGGACGUGGGGGAGGUAGGCGUUCUCGACAAGUGCGUGGUGGCGGUGGUGGAAGGUGGCGCCGCGGAAGUCGUCGGCGACAACCUC